This 74-nucleotide transfer RNA is filed under the name Pelecanus crispus (Dalmatian pelican). It matches the Rfam family "tRNA". From Rfam's summary of the family: Transfer RNA (tRNA) molecules are approximately 80 nucleotides in length. Their secondary structure includes four short double-helical elements and three loops (D, anti-codon, and T loops). Lineage: Eukaryota; Metazoa; Chordata; Aves; Pelecaniformes; Pelecanidae. The record is from Rfam by way of RNAcentral.
GCCUAGUUAGCUCAGUUGGUUAGAGCAUGGUGCUAAUAAUGCCAAGGUCAUGGGUUCAAUCCCUGCUCACUGCA